AUUGAACGCUGGCGGAAUGCUUUACACAUGCAAGUCGAACGGCAGCACGGGGGCAACCCUGGUGGCGAGUGGCGAACGGGUGAGUAAUACAUCGGAACGUGCCCAGUCGUGGGGGACAACGUAGCGAAAGUUACGCUAAUACCGCAUACGAUCUGUGGAUGAAAGCGGGGGACCGUAAGGCCUCGCGCGAUUGGAGCGGCCGAUGUCAGAUUAGGUAGUUGGUGGGGUAAAGGCCCACCAAGCCGACGAUCUGUAGCUGGUCUGAGAGGACGACCAGCCACACUGGGACUGAGACACGGCCCAGACUCCUACGGGAGGCAGCAGUGGGGAAUUUUGGACAAUGGGCGCAAGCCUGAUCCAGCCAUUCCGCGUGCAGGACGAAGGCCUUCGGGUUGUAAACUGCUUUUGUACGGAACGAAACGGCGAGCUCUAAUACAGUUUGCUAAUGACGGUACCGUAAGAAUAAGCACCGGCUAACUACGUGCCAGCCGCCGCAGUAA
Molecule: ribosomal RNA, 500 nt
Filed under: uncultured bacterium
Lineage: Bacteria
Description: partial 16S ribosomal RNA
Rfam family: Bacterial small subunit ribosomal RNA
Source: RNAcentral